Molecule: ribosomal RNA, 1510 nt
Filed under: Pediococcus pentosaceus
Lineage: Bacteria; Bacillati; Bacillota; Bacilli; Lactobacillales; Lactobacillaceae
Description: partial 23S ribosomal RNA
Rfam family: Bacterial large subunit ribosomal RNA
Source: RNAcentral
AGGUUAAGUUAGGAAGGGCGCAUGGUGAAUGCCUUGGUACUAGGAGCCGAUGAAGGACGGGACUAACACCGAUAUGCCUCGGGGAGCUGUAAGUAAGCUUUGAUCCGGGGAUUUCCGAAUGGGGCAACCCAAUAGUUUUAAUCGACUAUUAUCCGCAUCUGAAUACAUAGGAUGUGUGAAGGUAAACGUGGGGAACUGAAACAUCUCAGUACCCGCAGGAACAGAAAGAAAAUUCGAUUCCCUGAGUAGCGGCGAGCGAAACGGGAAGAGCCCAAACCAGGAAGCUUGCUUCCUGGGGUUGUAGGACUGAACAUUUGAGUUACCAAAGAACUUGAUAGCUGAAGAAUCUGGGAAGAUUCGCCAAAGAGGGUGAUAGCCCCGUAAGUUAAAUCAAGUUCUCUCAGUUCAGGAUCCUGAGUACGGCGGAGCACGUGAAAUUCCGUCGGAAUCCGGGAGGACCAUCUCCCAAGGCUAAAUACUACCUAGUGACCGAUAGUGAACCAGUACCGUGAGGGAAAGGUGAAAAGCACCCCGGAAGGGGAGUGAAAUAGUUCCUGAAACCAUGUGCCUACAAGAAGUCAGAGCCCGUUAAUGGGUAAUGGCGUGCCUUUUGUAGAAUGAACCGGCGAGUUACGUUCGUAUGCCAGGUUAAGUUGAAGAGACGGAGCCGAAGCGAAAGCGAGUCUGAAUAGGGCGAUAUAAGUAUGCGGAUGUAGACCCGAAACCAAGUGACCUACCCAUGUCCAGGUUGAAGGUGCAGUAAAAUGCACUGGAGGACCGAACUCGUGUACGUUGAAAAGUGCUGAGAUGAGGUGUGGGUAGCGGUGAAAUUCCAAACGAACUUGGAGAUAGCUGGUUCUCUCCGAAAUAGCUUUAGGGCUAGCCUCGGAAUUAGGAUCGUGGAGGUAGAGCCACUGUUUGGACUAGGGGCCCAUCAAGGGUUACCGAAUUCAGAUAAACUCCGAAUGCCAUCGAUUUAUGUCCGGGAGUCAGACGGUGAGUGAUAAGAUCCAUCGUCGAAAGGGGAACAGCCCAGACCACCAGUUAAGGUCCCUAAAUAUAUGUUAAGUGGAAAAGGAUGUGGAGUUGCAUAGACAACUAGGAUGUUGGCUCAGAAGCAGCCACCAUUUAAAGAGUGCGUAAUAGCUCACUAGUCGAGUGAUCCUGCGCCGAAAAUGUACCGGGGCUUAAACAUAUUACCGAGACUGUGGAUGCCACCAUUAGGUGGCGUGAUAGGAGAGCGUUCUAAGGGCAAUGAAGGCAGACCGUGAGGACUGUUGGAGCGCUUAGAAGUGAGAAUGCCGGUAUGAGUAGCGAAAGAUAGGUGAGAAUCCUAUCCACCGUAUGACUAAGGUUUCCUGGGGAAGGCUCGUCCUCCCAGGGUUAGUCGGGACCUAAGCCGAGGCCGAGAGGCGUAGGCGAUGGAUAACAGGUUGAUAUUCCUGUACUAGUUAAACUUGUUUGAACAAUGGAGGGACGCAGUAGGCUAAGGAAAGCACCCAGCUGGAAA